GAUAAACGCUGACAGAAUGCUUAACACAUGCAAGUCGAGGGGCAGCAUGAGACGGAGAUUCGUCGAAGUCUCGAUGGCGACCGGCGCAAGGGUGCGUAACGCGUGAGCAACUUGCCCGUUUCAGGGGGAUAACCGGUGGAAACGCCGACUAAUACCCCAUGGUAUGUUUUUGAGGCAUCUCUUAAACAUUAAAGAAUUUCGGAAACGGAUAGGCUCGCGUGACAUUAGCUAGAUGGCGGGGUAACGGCCCACCAUGGCGACGAUGUCUAGGGGUUCUGAGAGGAAGGUCCCCCACACUGGAACUGAGAUACGGCCCAG
This 318-nucleotide ribosomal RNA is filed under the name uncultured bacterium. RNAcentral describes it as "bacterial SSU rRNA". It matches the Rfam family "Bacterial small subunit ribosomal RNA", at positions 28 to 334 of the family's 1533-position model. The record is from RNAcentral.